This 1357-nucleotide long non-coding RNA is filed under the name Homo sapiens (human). Its description in RNAcentral is "HSALNT0344498". Lineage: Eukaryota; Metazoa; Chordata; Mammalia; Primates; Hominidae. The record is from RNAcentral.
UAAUCAGAGAAGUUUUUAAUUUACAAGGAGGGGAAACAGGGAAACAGAGGAAGGGAGAGAGACAGGCAUCUGCGGAGACUUCCCUGGAGAGCAGAGGCCAGAGGCAGAAGAGGGAGGGGGUGGAGUGGUUGCGGAGGACUUGCCCAGGAAACCCCUGUGAGAAGGAAGAGUUUUCUCAGCUGAGCAUUGAGCCAGCUGGUGUGUCAGGGGCAGCUUAGUUCACCAUGCUGGGUCCUCUCCUGAGCACAGGAAGACUGCACUGUCCCACCUUCUCUGGAGUCCGCUGGGGCCUCCUGUGUGACCUGUGUCCAGGCCUGGCCCUAAAACAUCCCACCAGCCUCUCAGCCCUCUCUUCCCUCUGCAGCAGGAGCAAAGGCCACGUCGGGGACAUGAUACAUCACAACAUGCAGGCAGCAUGGCCCUGAGUCACCACGUGGAGACAAGCCUCAAGAGGACUCCACUUCCCAGUGGACGUUGCACGAGCAAGCAGGAAACCUCUUCUGUGAGCCCCUGAGGUUCAGGGUUUUUUGUUUUUUUUUAGUACCAUGGCUACUGUGACGUAUCCUGACUAAUGCCGACAGCACAGGGAGCCUUUGCCUGCCGGAGGAAGCGGUGAGGAAGAGGUGGUGCGUCGUGCACUUCCUGUUGCUGUUUUAGGACAGCUUGGACGUAGUUUGUUCCAGGGAAGUGCUGCUGAACCAGGUAAACCCAGCCCCCCAUCUCCAGGAGCAGAGGCUGCAAGGACAGGAAGACAAUGAGGCAAUGGUGUGCUGGGGGAAUCGUGCUAAAGUGAAAGCAUCCUUCGAUCAUUUUUAAGUCAUUCUAGGAUCUUCAGGGCAUCAAAGUUUUGCCUGUGAGCCUCAAUUGGUCUAAUACAAAAAUACAGACUGUGGUUAAUCAUCUGAGCUUUGAGAUCAUGUGAGAUUGUAAUCCUGCCUUGGUUCUGCCACUUACUGCUGGUGAAGGAAAAAUUAAUCUUUCCAAACAGCUUGCAAGACAGAAAUCAUGCUUUCUACCUCCCAAAGCUGCUGUGGGCAUGAAACAGCCCACGUGCAUGAGGUGCCCAGCAUAGCGCCUGGAAAUCACACACAAUCACAGAAUCAUGGGGCCAGAGGAGGCCCUUGAAGUUUUAUCUGAUUUACUCCUCCCAUGAGAUGCUUUAAUUCUCCAACUUCUCCUCAAUGGCACCUAUAAAGAAAUGGGUUCUCCCUCUGUUGUUCUCUCUCUCGCUCUCAAGCUCUUUUAGUACUUAGAGUUACGCCACUUCAUUUGAAGUUUAACAUGGUAAAUCUUAGAGACCAUCCAAGUCCAACACAUUUAUUUUAUUUUUUUUUCUGAGACUGAGUUUUGCUCUUGU